This 402-nucleotide ribosomal RNA is filed under the name uncultured bacterium. RNAcentral describes it as "bacterial SSU rRNA". It matches the Rfam family "Bacterial small subunit ribosomal RNA", at positions 355 to 774 of the family's 1533-position model. The record is from RNAcentral.
UGGGGAAUAUUGCACAAUGGGCGAAAGCCUGAUGCAGCAACGCCGCGUGAGUGAUGAAGGCCUUCGGGUUGUAAAGCUCUGUCUUCUGGGACGAUAAUGACGGUACCAGAGGAGGAAGCCCCGGCUAACUUCGUGCCAGCAGCCGCGGUAAUACGAAGGGGGCUAGCGUUGCUCGGAAUCACUGGGCGUAAAGGGUGCGUAGGCGGGUUUCUAAGUCAGAGGUGAAAGCCUGGAGCUCAACUCCAGAACUGCCUUUGAUACUGGAAGUCUUGAGUAUGGGAGAGGUGAGUGGAACUGCGAGUGUAGAGGUGAAAUUCGUAGAUAUUCGCAAGAACACCAGUGGCGAAGGCGGCUCACUGGCCCAUAACUGACGCUGAGGCACGAAAGCGUGGGGAGCAAACA